GACAACGGCAUGGACGGAAGAUCAAAGGAUUAACCCGCUCUUGAUACCAUAUUGAAGAUUAAAGGGUGGAUGUAGUAGAGAUUUGGGAUUGUGGAAGAAGAGGAGACUCAGCCAUGAAAAGGAAGAUGGGGAAAAGUUCUGGAUCGAUCUGUCUCUCGAUCUUUCUCUGUCUCUAUUUAUUUACUCUUGGUAUUUUACACCUUAGUCCUUGUAUUACAUCUAUUUUUCAAAUACACACACCAACAACUAUUCGUAAUGUUUGAGGCCUAUUUAUUGGGCUACGCAAAGUUUGUUCCUUCUUCAUUGUAAUGAACCUUUCCAGCCCUGAUGACUUGGCACAAGUUGUCAGUGUAAUGCAAAGUUUGUUCCUUCUUCACUGUAAUGAUGGAAAAAUGGCCCAUGGAGAGGCCCAUUUAAUGCAAU
RNAcentral lists this long non-coding RNA (423 nucleotides) under Setaria viridis. RNAcentral's name for it is "long non-coding RNA (SVIR_LNC002225)". Lineage: Eukaryota; Viridiplantae; Streptophyta; Magnoliopsida; Poales; Poaceae. The record is from RNAcentral.